Molecule: long non-coding RNA, 450 nt
Filed under: Cicer arietinum (chickpea)
Lineage: Eukaryota; Viridiplantae; Streptophyta; Magnoliopsida; Fabales; Fabaceae
Description: long non-coding RNA (CARI_LNC000659)
Source: RNAcentral
CAUAAUAAGGAAACGACGAGAAGAGAACGGAGGGAUUUAUUUAUUGCUAAACAAAAAAAGAAAAAUAAAGAAGAAACAACACAACAAAAAACAAAGAAAAUGAUGUAGAGAGAUCUAAAAAUUCACCAUCUACCUUCAUCAAAUAAGUUAUGACCAUAAACAAACACAAAUCUAUUUUAACAACAUAACUAACAAAAAUCAAAUAAAAAAAACUGAAAACGGGAGAAGAGAAUCACAACUAAUUUCUUCUUAUUUGAUGUCUGCAGUACGCUGUUCAUUACAGCCUCCAUCUUCACUGCAACCUUUGUUAUACCGGGAAAGGCAUGUACUUCUUCCCUCUCUUCUUUUUUGCUUUCCUUUUCAAACUUUAUCUUAUAAGAUGUAAAUUUUAUUUUUCUAGAUGAAAACUCUUUUUUUUUAGAGCGACUAAUUUUCGCAUGUAACUCUCCC